UGGGGUCGUAGUUCAAUCGGUUAGAGCACCGCCCUGUCACGGCGGAAGUUGCGAGUUCGAGCCUCGUCGACCCCGUC
Molecule: transfer RNA, 77 nt
Filed under: Dulcicalothrix desertica PCC 7102
Lineage: Bacteria; Bacillati; Cyanobacteriota; Cyanophyceae; Nostocales; Calotrichaceae
Also listed under: 2 other names
Description: Calothrix desertica PCC 7102 tRNA-Asp
Rfam family: tRNA
About the family: Transfer RNA (tRNA) molecules are approximately 80 nucleotides in length.
Source: RNAcentral